UGCAAAGGUGACAGCUGACUUUUUAGGCUAAUAUUUAAACAGGGCAAUGAGUAAUCUGAAAAAAGAUAAAUUUCUUAGACAUUCUGCUUUCGGUGUAAUUUGAAUUUUUGUGGUCUCUUAUUGCCAGCCUGAACUGAAUCAUUUGAGAUUUGCCUGAUGUUUUUCUGGCAGAUAUGCAACUGAAACUUUUUCAUGGUUUUGAUUUUUUUUCUUGCCAUUUUGUUCUGGACAAUACUGGAUUUUUACAGAGGAGGAGUCUUGCUCCAUAACAAGCUUUUACAGACCAAGGAACAUUGUCACAUAAUUCCAUUACUGAAUCCAGCAGAUUUUUGUUAAAUUACGACACCUCUCUUAGGAAGAUAUUAAAUAAUGAUUUAAAGACUUAAAGAUAUGUUGCUACUCUAACAUAUCUGCCUGCCUGCUGUUAUAGCAGGGAACAAUAGCAGAAGGAAGCUCAGCAGCAGUAACGGAAUAACUGAUGCCUGGUCAAGCUCAUUAACAGAUAUCAUAUCUAGGAACGGAGAAAUGAGGCCCGCUGUGUUACCCACCAUACCUGAUGAAGACGUAGGCUUGAGAUCUUUGCAUAGUAAGUGGAAGAAGAGAGUACUCCAGCAGGUGCGACCACCGUUUUUUCAAAGGAGCACAGCCCAUGGGCUCAGGAUCUGUGUGGGAAAGUUACUCCAAGACCCCCAUCCCAUGCAGGAGGGAUGGUGUGUGCCUGGAUCUCACCCAUAAUCACAGGAUGCAACUGGUAGAAAUCAGUUACUUUUUAAGAGCCAAAACCGUUUCUUUUCAAACAGAAUUAGCCACUGGCUCAGCACUGGGACCUGCUCAGCCGUUCUUCACAACAUCACUCUGACCAAGUGAGGACUCAUCAGUCAUCUCAGGGAAAGGUUUGCUAAUGUACAUCUCAAACCAAAACUCAGCCUAAAACAAGUAUCUCUGAAGUGGCAAGAAGGAUGUGUGGGACAGAGUGAAAAGCUGAAAAGGGCAAUGGUACAUGGGCUUGCUGGGGCAAGUCUUCCCUCAUGACAUUUAGGGUUGCUGCUAAGUGUCUGCUUCUCUCCAUGAACAUCACUGCUGAGGGACUUGGCAUCCUUGUAUUUUAUCUAUAUAAUCACUGGCUUAUAUCCUCAAGGCAAGUGUUCAUUGUAUGAUAACUAGGACUAAACACAGGAUGGAAGUGUCCCAACUUCAUUCUGAGUUAUUUUUCUUUCCCUACCAAAUGCUGAGAUUCCUGUCAUCUACCAUUCACUGCCUUGGAGAUAGACAUCCUUUUGGGCUGCUUCCCCAUGGGAAGCAAUGAGUCAGUCUGGCAUCCCAUCACCAUCAGAGGAGGAAUGUCCCUUACCCCCAGUCCACCCCAUCAUUUCCCAUAGAAUCAGAGAAUCAUAGAAUAGUUUG
This is a long non-coding RNA of Melopsittacus undulatus (budgerigar), 1404 nucleotides long. RefSeq lists it as uncharacterized. The transcript has 4 exons. Lineage: Eukaryota; Metazoa; Chordata; Aves; Psittaciformes; Psittaculidae. The record is from RefSeq and is a predicted model, not a curated record.